UACGGGGGGAGCAAGCGUUGUUCGGAUUUACUGGGCGUAAAGGGCGCGUAGGCGGCCAGCACAAGUCAGUUGUGAAAUCUCCGAGCUUAACUCGGACAGGUCAACUGAUACUGUGCGGCUAGAGUGCGGAAGGGGCAACUGGAAUUCUUGGUGUAGCGGUGAAAUGCGUAGAUAUCAAGAGGAACACCUGCGGCGAAGGCGGGUUGCUGGGCCGACACUGACGCUGAGGCGCGAAAGCCAGGGGAGCGAACGGG
This 254-nucleotide ribosomal RNA is filed under the name uncultured bacterium. RNAcentral's name for it is "partial 16S ribosomal RNA". It matches the Rfam family "Bacterial small subunit ribosomal RNA", at positions 524 to 776 of the family's 1533-position model. The record is from RNAcentral.